GGGGAAUAUUGGGCAAUGGGCGCAAGCCUGACCCAGCAACGCCGCGUGAAGGAAGAAGGCUUUCGGGUUGUAAACUUCUUUUAUUCGGGACGAAAAAAAUGACGGUACCGAAUGAAUAAGCCACGGCUAACUACGUGCCAGCAGCCGCGGUAAUACGUAGGUGGCAAGCGUUAUCCGGAUUUACUGGGUGUAAAGGGCGUGUAGGCGGGACUGCAAGUCAGAUGUGAAACCCAUGGGCUCAACCCAUGGCCUGCAUUUGAAACUGUGGUUCUUGAGUGUCGGAGAGGUAAUCGGAAUUCCGUGUGUAGCGGUGAAAUGCGUAGAUAUAGGAAGGAACACCAGUGGCGAAGGCGACCACCUGGGCUAAUACUGACACUGAGGUGCGAAAGCGUGGGGAGCAAACA
This 404-nucleotide ribosomal RNA is filed under the name uncultured Oscillospiraceae bacterium. Its description in RNAcentral is "bacterial SSU rRNA". It matches the Rfam family "Bacterial small subunit ribosomal RNA", at positions 356 to 774 of the family's 1533-position model. The record is from RNAcentral. Lineage: Bacteria; Bacillati; Bacillota; Clostridia; Eubacteriales; Oscillospiraceae.